GCUAAACGCGAAGAACCUUACCUGGCCUUGACAUGUCCGGAAUUCUGCAGAGAUGCGGAAGUGCCUUCGGGAAUCGGAACACAGGUGCUGCAUGGCUGUCGUCAGCUCGUGUCGUGAGAUCUUGGGUUAAGUCCCGUAACGAGCGCAACCCUUGUCCUUAGUUACCAGCACGUUAUGGUGGGCACUCUAAGGAGACUGCCGGUGACAAACCGGAGGAAGGUGGGGAUGACGUCAAGUCAUCAUGGCCCUUACGGCCUGGGCUACACACGUGCUACAAUGGUCGGUACAGAGGGUUGCCAAGCCGCGAGGUGGAGCUAAUCUCACAAAACCGAUCGUAGUCCGGAUCGCAGUCUGCAACUCGACUGCGUGAAGUCGGAAUCGCUAGUAAUCGCGAAUCAGAAUGUCGCGGUGAAUACGUUCCCGGGUCUUGUACACACCG
Molecule: ribosomal RNA, 439 nt
Filed under: uncultured bacterium
Lineage: Bacteria
Description: bacterial SSU rRNA
Rfam family: Bacterial small subunit ribosomal RNA
Source: RNAcentral